UAUCCAGGCCAAAUUAUGGAGCGAAGGCUUGCUCAAGAGACCGUUAAUCAAAGCCAAAGUAGUGCCAAGAUGACGACGUUAAGUAAAGUAUUUAGUAACGAUCAAAUGCAAAAUAUAUGUGGAGAGUUUAAGCGAUUAAAAGGCAGAUGUUACCUAGACAAUGCUGGCGCUGCUUUGUUCCCAGAAAGCCUUCUGCAUCUUGUCAAUAAUGACUUACUAAAUAAUAUGUACAUGAACACACAUACGGACAAAUAUACAGCAGACUGUGUUGAGCAAGUGAGAUGUAUGGUUUUAAAGCAUUUUAAUACAGAUCCGUCAGAAUACACUUGUAUAUUUACCUCAGGCGCCACUCAGUCACUCAAGUUAACUGCAGAAUCAUUCCAAUUUGCUAGUGAUGACCACAGUGGUUCAUUUGUUUACCUCCAAGAAAACCAUACUUCUGUUCUUGGGCUCAGAGAAAUUGCAAAGAGUAAAAAUGCAGACGUGAUUCACAUUUCACAUGAAAGCUUCUUAGAUGCUUUGAGCACUUCAAAUUCUCAAACCUGGAAGAAACAUAGUAAAAAUACCAGCAACACUCUUCUGGCAUACCCGGCACAGAGUAAUUUUAAUGGAUACAAGUAUUCCUUAGAUUGCAUUGACAAUAUUAAAAAUGGCUGCCUCAAUCAUUGUUUAAAGAAACUACUAUGUACUUUAAAAAAUAACUGGUAUGUGCUACUUGAUGCUGCAGGAUAUGUGCCGACAAAUAAACUAGAUUUAUCUAAGAUACAACCUGAUUACAUUUGCCUAUCUUUUUACAAAAUAUUUGGCUACCCGACCGGGUUAGGAGCGCUAUUGGUAAAGAAUAGUAGUGCUAAUGUUCUAAAUGAUAAACAGUACUUUGGAGGAGGUACAGUGGAUAUUGUGUUGAGUACAGAAGAUUUCCAUAUGAAAAGGACAGUCCUACAUGAAAGAUUUGAAGAUGGCACUGUCAACUUCUUAUCGAUUCUUGCCUUGAAACAUUGUUUCGAUACAAUGCAAAGAUUAAUACCAAAAGUAAUAAAUAAUGAUAUUAUGGAUACUAUAUCAUAUCACACAUUCGGCCUGGCUCAUGACCUAUAUGAGCAACUGAAGAAUCUCAAGCAUGCAAAUGGCGCUCCAGCAGCUGUUUUAUAUAUGGAUGACGAGUUUACUGAUAUUAGAAAACAGGGAGCUAUUGUAACAUUCAAUCUAUUGAGAGAAGACGGAACAUUCAUUGGAUAUGCCGAGUUCCAACAUAUGGCGGAGCUUUUCAACAUAAACGUGAGAACUGGAUGUUUCUGCAACUCAGGCGCCUGCCAACGCCACCUAAAAGCAUCCAACAAGGACUUGAAAGACAUGUUCAAAGCUGGCCACAAAUGCGGGGACCAAGUGGAUUUACUUCACGGCAAGCCUACGGGAGCUAUAAGAGUUUCUUUCGCGUAUUACAACACGUAUAAUGACGUCGAUACGCUAGUCCUAACGAUAUGCCGUUGCUACCUUCAGAACAAAUACAGGAAACCAAAGCGUUACGCUACCAAGAUUAUCAUAACUGUACAGAAUCCACUGUACAAAGACGACACUUUGAAAAUUCCAAUUGAACUCUUAGAAACUCGUGAUGUUACUGAUUCUCCUGAAUUAGAAUCUAAAAUAAAAUUAAUAGAAAUAAAUGUAUUCCCCGUAAAAUCAUGUGGGGCAUUCAAAGUUACAGGCGAUUGGAAAAUGGGGCCGAAAGGCUUCGAAUAUGACAGGGAAUGGAUGAUUGUGAAAGACAAUGGAUUAUGUUUGACUCAGAAACAGAAUAUGCUGAUGUGCAUGAUAAAACCAAUAAUAGACUUAAAUAAGAAAUUGUUGAUAUUGAAUUUUAAAGGCAAGGACCCCAUUUCGAUACCUCUGUACCCCUCACCAGAAAGUAAACUAAAAGAAUCCAGGAUUUGCAGCUCCAAAGUCUGCACAGACAUUGUCCAAGGCAUAGAUUGUGGAGACGAAGUGGCCGACUGGAUAUCUGAAGCUCUAGAAAUCUCUUACUUACGCCUAGUGAGACAGUCAAAUGACAGAAAAAUAAAAAAGAAAGGCGAAUCGGAAACCAAGCUACUAUCUCUAAGCAACCAAGCACAAUUCCUUCUUAUAAACAAGGCAACAGUCAGAUGGUUAAAGGAAAAAAUUGAUGAUCAGUUUUUCAGUGAUGACGUGGAUCAUUUAACUGAUCGGUUUAGAGGAAAUCUGAUUAUAGAUAUGGAUGAAGAGCUUGUUGAGAGAGAGUGGCAUCGAGUCAUUAUUGGGCGACAGGAAUUUAAGGUGGAAGGCCAAUGUAACCGCUGUCAAAUGGUCUGUAUAGACCAGUCAACAGGCGAGAAGACUGUGGAGCCCCUUAGAACAAUCUCAGAACAAUUUAGCGGGAAACUGCGAUUCGGAAUCUAUUUAACAUAUAUUGGUACAACUGACGGGUCUAAUGAUACCACACUGAAAACACAAUCACCAGUCAAACCAAUAAUCAAUGAUGAUAAUAUAAGCAGGUGAAAUUAAUUAGGAAAUUAGAAACUAGAUGAAAUUAGAUGUGAAUUUUACAGGUAGAAAUUUUUGUAUGCACUUUAGAUAUUUAUUUGUGGAUAAAAAUAUGUGGUCUUCAUUAGAUUUUUAACUCAAGGGUACUAAAACAGGUCACACAAAUUCUAUACAAAGCUAACUUGCCCCCGAGUUUUCCGGCUAAAGGAGAUGGCGCUGUAAGGUUAUUAUGGUAACUGAUUUGUCAAAUCAUCAACAUAUGACAACCGCAUAAUGCAUGAAGGACAGUGCCAUCUGCAUAAGCUGUCUAACUCAAAGCAGCAUGUCUUAGGCUUACGGCUCGGCCACGACAUCAAGCGACUUGCGACGGCGGGAGCGAUAACCAUAGGUUGGAGUGAAAUGUCCGAUCGCUGUGUCACGCUCCAACCUAUGGUUAUCUCUCCCGCCGUCGUAAAUAGCUCGAUGUCGUGGCAGAGCCGUUAGAGUGCACUGUGAUUAAUUUCUUACGGUUUCAGUCUUGUAAGUACGUUCGCUUAUGAAGCAUGCCGAAGAGUCAGCAGAAGUUGCUAAGCGGCCGCGGUGUUCAAAAUUACCUUGAUACGCUCUUAUUCUCUUAACAAUAAAGUCGCCUCAAGAUCAUUUUGAAUACCUGCUGACUGUACGUUAAAUCAUUUGUGGUUCUGAAACCGUAACAAAUUUUAUUAAUCGCAGUGAAUUCUAAGCCUAAGUCAUUUUAUAAAUUAUACAAUCAUUGAAUCUCUAAUACAACUUGGCCUAUUUUUAUUGCUCUUGAGCCUUUAUGUAUGUUGUAAAGUUUGUACUUUGUAGAUAGCUCAUCUUUAGCCUUAAUAUGGUUAGAUAUGUGGUAACAGAUAUGCAAGUCUGAUUAAUAAUAUGAAUUUUAUAUGGACACUGCAUUGACAGUGAUUACUGUUAUUAGUGAAUCAAUAGAAUAUUUAAACUGGACAAGGUCUGAAGACAUUCCAUAUUAGAAUCAAAACUGCAUAUGCUAUGACAGUUUGUACAAACACUAUUUAUAAUAUUUAUUACAUCAUUGCACCUCAUAGUAUUUUUAUAUUUCGUCUAUUAUUGUUAGAUAUUAUAAGUGGAAAAGUAGCCAAACUCUGACCACUCAAACUUUGCACGAACUUCGCAAUAAGGAUGCAUAUUAGGCCAGUCAAAUUAGAUGUUUUCCAGGGAUAAUUUCCAACAAGCUGGAAAAUUUCUUAAUACCUUCAUUUGGUGUAAUCCGAGUUUGCUCCGUUCCAGGAGUUGUGGAAAAAUAUUUACCUACUCUCUUUCAGUUUUUUGCUUGUAGUUGCGUCCGACGGAAAAAUUGCUCUUUUCAUGAUAAUAAUUGACAUCUGAUGAUCUGAAAAGUACCGUAAUAUGAAUUCAUAGUCAAAGAUUGUAAAAAAUGACCGCAACUUAGAAUUUUUUUGGUAAAAUUAUUGUGUUAACAUCCGAAAUUUUUAUUCACCAGUGUCUGAUCCACAACAACCUUGCAACCAAGAAUUAAGUGUGAGUGGUGACAUUGUAAUUGAUGGUGGUUCCUUCUACAUUGAGUGGUUUUGUUAAUCCAAGGUAAAAUGUAUCUCCCAAGGCUCCAUAAAUUUGUCCACACCUCCUGGGAUGAAGCAAACUCGGAUUAUACAUGUUUAGGACCAAGUGAAGGGUCAAAUAUAAGUUCCUAUGUAUUUCAUAGUAUAAGGUACUAUUAUUCAUCAAAUAUUUUGGAAUGUAUGGAUUUUUUGGAUGACAGUAAAAUGAAAAUCAUUCCUACUAGAUUUAAACUUGCCUUAUUAUUAAGAUGCAUUUAAGACUAGUUUGUUACAGGGAUUUUCAAAGUUAAAGCUAAAUAUAUACAUUAUAUAUUUUAUAAAUACAUAUUAUGAUAUUACACAGUU
This is an RNA transcript of Cydia fagiglandana, 4406 nucleotides long. It is a transcript of the gene named molybdenum cofactor sulfurase, with no coding region annotated. The record is from RefSeq and is a predicted model, not a curated record. Lineage: Eukaryota; Metazoa; Arthropoda; Insecta; Lepidoptera; Tortricidae. The transcript has 8 exons.